Molecule: transfer RNA, 92 nt
Filed under: Stygiolobus caldivivus
Lineage: Archaea; Thermoproteati; Thermoproteota; Thermoprotei; Sulfolobales; Sulfolobaceae
Description: Stygiolobus sp. KN-1 tRNA-Ile
Rfam family: tRNA
About the family: Transfer RNA (tRNA) molecules are approximately 80 nucleotides in length. Their secondary structure includes four short double-helical elements and three loops (D, anti-codon, and T loops).
Source: RNAcentral
GGGCCCGUAGCUUAGCAUGGUAGAGCGCCCGGCUGAUAUUCCCGGUGUGAUCAGGCACCGGGAGGCCGUGGGUUCAAGUCCCACCGGGCCCA